GUGAAUCAUCGAAUUUUUGAACGCAAAUUGCACUCUCUUCUGAUAGUAUGCCUGUUUGAGUGUCAGCCUAAAAAAAAUCUACGUAGUCGCUGUGUCGCGGUGACAUUCUUCGGAAAUUGGGUCAUCUUAAACCUUUGGGUUUUUUAAGCGGCUUAAAGUUUUCUUGACGAUUCCACGAACGCUUCUAAGAUUUUACUUCUUACACACGUUUAAGGUAUCGAUCUUUAUUAGACGUGGCCGUUGCAUCGGAUCGCGUCCAUAAAUAUUUCGUUAACUGACCCCGUACAGGUAGUAGUACCC
RNAcentral lists this unclassified non-coding RNA (300 nucleotides) under Glomus sp. Its description in RNAcentral is "partial contains 5.8S ribosomal RNA and internal transcribed spacer 2". The stretch from base 1 to 65 matches the Rfam family "5.8S ribosomal RNA", at positions 84 to 154 of the family's 154-position model. Lineage: Eukaryota; Fungi; Glomeromycota; Glomeromycetes; Glomerales; Glomeraceae. The record is from RNAcentral.